RNAcentral lists this ribosomal RNA (627 nucleotides) under uncultured fungus. Its description in RNAcentral is "eukaryotic LSU rRNA". The stretch from base 199 to 352 matches the Rfam family "5.8S ribosomal RNA". Lineage: Eukaryota; Fungi. The record is from RNAcentral.
AGUCGUAACAAGGUUUCCGUAGGUGAACCUGCGGAAGGAUCAUUAGUGAAUAUAGGACGUCCAACUUAACUUGGAGUCCGAACUCUCACUUUCUAACCCUGUGCACUUGUUUGGGAUAGUAACUCUCGCAAGAGAGCGAACUCCUAUCCACUUAUAAACACAAAGUCUAUGAAUGUAUUAAAUUUUAUAACAAAAUAAAACUUUCAACAACGGAUCUCUUGGCUCUCGCAUCGAUGAAGAACGCAGCGAAAUGCGAUAAGUAAUGUGAAUUGCAGAAUUCAGUGAAUCAUCGAAUCUUUGAACGCACCUUGCGCUCCAUGGUAUUCCGUGGAGCAUGCCUGUUUGAGUGUCAUGAAUACUUCAACCCUCCUCUUUCUUAAUGAUUGAAGAGGUGUUUGGUUUCUGAGCGCUGCUGGCCUUUACGGUCUAGCUCGUUCGUAAUGCAUUAGCAUCCGCAAUCGAACUUCGGAUUGACUUGGCGUAAUAGACUAUUCGCUGAGGAAUUCUAGUCUUCGGAUUAGAGCCGGGUUGGGUUAAAGGAAGCUUCUAAUCAGAAUGUCUACAUUUUAAGAUUAGAUCUCAAAUCAGGUAGGACUACCCGCUGAACUUAAGCAUAUCUAAAAGUCG